AUUGAACGCUGGCGGCAGGCUUAACACAUGCAAGUCGAGCGGAAACGAUGGUAGCUUGCUACCAGGCGUCGAGCGGCGGACGGGUGAGUAAUACUUAGGAAUCUACCUAGUAGUGGGGGAUAGCUCGGGGAAACUCGAAUUAAUACCGCAUACGACCUACGGGAGAAAGGGGGCAGUUUACUGCUCUCGCUAUUAGAUGAGCCUAAGUCGGAUUAGCUAGAUGGUGGGGUAAAGGCCUACCAUGGCGACGAUCUGUAGCUGGUCUGAGAGGAUGAUCAGCCACACCGGGACUGAGACACGGCCCGGACUCCUACGGGAGGCAGCAGUGGGGAAUAUUGGACAAUGGGGGCAACCCUGAUCCAGCCAUGCCGCGUGUGUGAAGAAGGCCUUUUGGUUGUAAAGCACUUUAAGCAGUGAAGAAGACUCCAUGGUUAAUACCCAUGGACGAUGACAUUAGCUGCAGAAUAAGCACCGGCUAACUCUGUGCCAGCAGCCGCGGUAAUACAGAGGGUGCAAGCGUUAAUCGGAAUUACUGGGCGUAAAGCGAGCGUAGGUGGCUUGAUAAGUCAGAUGUGAAAUCCCCGGGCUUAACCUGGGAACUGCAUCUGAUACUGUUAGGCUAGAAUAGGUGAGAGGAAGGUAGAAUUCCAGGUGUAGCGGUGAAAUGCGUAGAGAUCUGGAGGAAUACCGAUGGCGAAGGCAGCCUUCUGGCAUCAUAUUGACACUGAGGUUCGAAAGCGUGGGUAGCAAACAGG
This 755-nucleotide ribosomal RNA is filed under the name uncultured bacterium. RNAcentral's name for it is "bacterial SSU rRNA". It matches the Rfam family "Bacterial small subunit ribosomal RNA", at positions 28 to 776 of the family's 1533-position model. The record is from RNAcentral.